AGUCUCCUGGUGCUUACCACAGGCUGUGUUCUCACACUGACUGUAUAGAAAGUUUAAGCAAAGUAAAUCUACCCCAUAUAUACCUCAGUCCAGGUCCUGUGCCUGGUCUGUAUUGUGAAUGGGGUGGGAGAA
Molecule: small nucleolar RNA, 132 nt
Filed under: Castor canadensis (American beaver)
Lineage: Eukaryota; Metazoa; Chordata; Mammalia; Rodentia; Castoridae
Description: Small nucleolar RNA SNORA51 (ENSCCNG00000011925.1)
Rfam family: Small nucleolar RNA SNORA51
About the family: ACA51 is a member of the H/ACA class of snoRNA that guide the sites of modification of uridines to pseudouridines.
Source: Rfam by way of RNAcentral